GGAGAGAUGACCGAGAGGCCGAAGGUGCUCCCCUGCUAAGGGAGUAUACGGGAAACCGUAUCGAGGGUUCGAAUCCCUCUCUCUCCG
Molecule: transfer RNA, 87 nt
Filed under: Peptococcaceae bacterium
Lineage: Bacteria; Bacillati; Bacillota; Clostridia; Eubacteriales; Peptococcaceae
Description: tRNA-Ser
Rfam family: tRNA
About the family: Transfer RNA (tRNA) molecules are approximately 80 nucleotides in length. Their secondary structure includes four short double-helical elements and three loops (D, anti-codon, and T loops).
Source: RNAcentral